Aquila chrysaetos chrysaetos is the source of this 792-nucleotide long non-coding RNA. RefSeq lists it as uncharacterized. The record is from RefSeq and is a predicted model, not a curated record. Lineage: Eukaryota; Metazoa; Chordata; Aves; Accipitriformes; Accipitridae. The transcript is spliced from 3 exons.
UUUCCUAUCCCAGCACAGCAGUUUAUUACAGUAAGGACAUAAUUUAGCAUCUCUCUGAACAUACCAUUAUUACUGAAUGUAUCGUAAUUAGUUCCUGCUUGCGAAGUACUUGGACACGGAGGAACAUAUUGUACGCGGGUGAGCCAGUGAGACCACAGGAACAGAGCGGUGGAGUCCUGAAAUCUGCCUUGCUCCAGCAAGCUCAGAGGUACUGCUCAGUCCCUGAUUCAGCACAAUCUUUUGAGCAUUUGCUUAAAUCCCACUGACAGUAAUGGCCCACAAGCACAUGCCGAAUGCAAGUGCCACAAGAAAAUACUCUGAUUGCGGUUCUCAGAGUCCCUCUAACAGCAGAUCCUUGAAAUGUGAAUGCAGCCCUGAAACUAAAAUUCAGUUUAUCACAUCCUGAAAAGCCAGGGAAAUGAGAAAUCUUCCUCUGAACGUGUUAAUGCUCAUUUUUGCUUUGAAGAACCAGCAGUUUUCAGAUUAUGGCUCUAGUGUUUUAGAACUUAAAGCCCUCGAGUCCAAGACAAAAACUAAGCUAUUGAUUAAAAGAAAAGCCAUGGAGAUGUUGAGAGUUCAAAUAAAGCAAUGAAGAUGCUCAAAUAUCGGCAUUUCUUUUGAGCUUUUUAGUGUCUUACUGACUAGAGACGCUCAAGACAAAAAUAACGUCUCCCUUGCUGUGAGCCAGCGGAGCUCAUAGCCCCUAGCUGACAAUCUUUUCCCUUAGCUCUACAGGCUACAACCACCACAUCCAACCCUUGGUGAAAUGAGUGUUAAAUCCACUGAAGAGUA